UUUUAUUUUUUUAUUUUUAUUAUUAUUAUUUUUUUAUCUCUCUUACUUCGUUUUACCGUUCUUUUUUUUCUUUCUUCUCUUUCCAGUUUUAAGCUUUAGCAUAGAGCAGAGAGCUGAGAGCACAGAGUAGACAUUCCAGCGGCAAAGGCAUCCCCUUUGCCGUCGGCUUCGUUUCUUCCUUCACCUUCUCUACAUCUCUGCAUCUCUACAUCUCAUCUCUAGGUUGAAGGGUUUGGAUUGAAGCCGAAAGAAUCAAUCUCUGCAUCUCAUCUCUGGAUCUGGGUCCUUUUGGUUUCCAAGAAAAAAAGGCAAAAAAUAAAAAAAUAAAAACGGUGGAGUGGAAGAUUUAGGGGAAGAGUUGAAUUGAAUAAGUUGGGUUUGGGUUGGCACUGUCACUGUCAAGCUCCUCUGUUUCUGGGUUUUUGGAGAAACAGGUCUAAUUAUUUUUUAUUAUUAAUUUUUUUUUUCCUUCUGCGUUUCUGUUGGUUCUUUGUUGGUAUCUGGGUUUCUGGAUUCUGCAUCUCUCUACUCUCUGAUUUUUUUUCCUAGUUAGCAUGAAAUCUUAUGUUGGCUUUCAUAGGACUUUAUGCUAACACGAGAUAUCAGCUGUUGUGUGGAUAUGACAGAGCAAUGUUCAACCAAUCUGACGUCAUUAGAGUGGCACUGUUAUUGGGGAGCCGAGGAAGUGUAGGGUGGGGGGCCCUGAAAAAUGGCCUCUUGUUAUUGGGUUUUUUUUUUUUUUUUUCUUAUUUAGGUUUUGAACUUUAUGGUGUCGUUUUCUGCUAAAUCUUUGUUCGUAGUAUAGUAGUUUGAUGUUUUACACCAAAUGGGCUUUGUUUUCGAUUCCAAGUAGUGUACUUUAACACGAAGAGGGUUAUGUUGAACACUUUGUGCUUUUAUGUUUUGAGUUAUAAUUAUUUGUCUUGAUAUUGAGACUA
Long non-coding RNA from Ziziphus jujuba (common jujube), 938 nucleotides. RefSeq lists it as uncharacterized. The transcript is spliced from 3 exons. Lineage: Eukaryota; Viridiplantae; Streptophyta; Magnoliopsida; Rosales; Rhamnaceae. The record is from RefSeq and is a predicted model, not a curated record.